UAGCUCAGUUGGUAGAGCAUGGUGUUUGCAAUGCCAGGGUUGUGGGUUCGAUUCUCAC
Salmo salar (Atlantic salmon) is the source of this 58-nucleotide non-coding RNA. Lineage: Eukaryota; Metazoa; Chordata; Actinopteri; Salmoniformes; Salmonidae. The record is from Rfam.